RNAcentral lists this long non-coding RNA (199 nucleotides) under Olea europaea (common olive). Its description in RNAcentral is "long non-coding RNA (OEUR_LNC010498)". The record is from RNAcentral. Lineage: Eukaryota; Viridiplantae; Streptophyta; Magnoliopsida; Lamiales; Oleaceae.
GACGUGCCACUAAUGCUUAUGGAAUCCGCCGGACCGAAUCCAGUAAUCCAUGUCUUCAAAAUUUCAAAACCUCCAAAUAUAAACCUUGAGAAAUCAACGGCAAAACCUAGACGGCUAGACCGAAGAACGAUGGCGGAGGUCGGAGCUGAUGCGGUGGCGACUGGCGUUGAAGAAUGAAGCGUGGAUUGCUUGUAUACUG